GCUAUAUACAGGAAGUACAGGAAAUAACAUGGCUAUAGACAGGAAGUACCAGGUAAUAACAUGGCUAUAGACAGGAAGUACCAGGUAAUAACAUGGCUAUAGACAGGAAGUACCAGGUAAUAACAUGGCUAUAGACAGGAAGUACCAGGUAAUAACAUGGCUAUAGACAGGAAGUACCAGGUAAUAACAUGGCUAUAUACAGGAAGUACCAGGUAAUAACAUGGCUAUAUACAGGAAGUACCAGGUAAUAACAUGGCUAUAUACAUGGAGUACCAGGUAAUAACAUGGCUAUAUACAGGGAGUACCAGGUAAUAACAUGGCUAUAUACAGGAAGUACCAUGAAAUAACAUGACUAUAUACAGGAAGUACCAGGUAAUAACAUGGCUAUAUACAGGGAGUACCAGGUAAUAACAUGGCUAUAUACAGGAAGUACCAGGUAAUAACAUGGCUAUAUACACAGGGCACCAGGUAAUAACAGGGCUAUAUACAGGAAGUACCAGGUAAUAACAUAGUAAUAACCUACCCACUCUCUUC
This is a long non-coding RNA of Oncorhynchus tshawytscha (Chinook salmon), 534 nucleotides long. The record is from Ensembl. Lineage: Eukaryota; Metazoa; Chordata; Actinopteri; Salmoniformes; Salmonidae.